GUAGGGUGCGAGCGUUAAUCGGAAUUACUGGGCGUAAAGCGUGCGCAGGCGGUUUGUAAGACAGAGGUGAAAUCCCCGGGGCUCAACCUGGGAACUGCCUUUGUGACUGCAAGGCUAGAGUACGGCAGAGGGGGAUGGAAUUCCGCGUGUAGCAGUGAAAUGCGUAGAUAUGCGGAGGAACACCGAUGGCGAAGGCAAUCCCCUGGGCCUGUACUGACGCUCAUGCACGAAAGCGUGGGGAGCAAACAGGAUUAGAUACCCUGGUAGUCCACGCCCUAAACGAUGUCAACUGGUUGUUGGGUCUUAACUGACUCAGUAACGAAGCUAACGCGUGAAGUUGACCGCCUGGGGAGUACGGCCGCAAGGUUG
RNAcentral lists this ribosomal RNA (369 nucleotides) under uncultured organism. Its description in RNAcentral is "partial 16S ribosomal RNA". It matches the Rfam family "Bacterial small subunit ribosomal RNA", at positions 527 to 896 of the family's 1533-position model. The record is from RNAcentral.